This 1637-nucleotide long non-coding RNA is filed under the name Lytechinus variegatus (green sea urchin). Its description in RNAcentral is "uncharacterized LOC121412576". Lineage: Eukaryota; Metazoa; Echinodermata; Echinoidea; Temnopleuroida; Toxopneustidae. The record is from RNAcentral.
GGGCUACAAGACCACAUCAGGAAGCAAUCUCGGCUCGUUAAAGAGUUUGCACACCUGGUGAGCACCGAUGCUCGAUUUGAGCUUUGUGCAGAGGCAAUAUACAGCCAUGCGUGCUUCAGAUUAAAGAACUCUGACAAUGAAACAAAUCGACAUCUUCUGAACCAGAUUAACAUGACACGAAAAGUAGUCUUGACGGGAUCUGUGUUCAAGGGAAAAUAUAUUCUUCGUUUCGCUGUAUCCAGUCCCUUCACUGAAAGCAAGCAUGUAGAGUUUGCUUGGAAGAUAAUCACGGAAGCAGCGAAUGAACUCAAAGGAGCAGAUACUGACGGUCUAAAAGAUUGAGAAAUUCAAAACCAAUUGGUGAUAUUAAGUGAAAUACUGUAUAUUUGUGUGAUAAAUGUGACCGAAAACAUUUUGCAAAGUGUACUUUCCUGGACCAACGCAGAAUUUCUGUUGUCAUUUUACACAUUAUUAUCCUCGCCAAAGUUCCAUGUUAUUGAUAUAAGAAGAGGACAAAUGGAAUCAUAUAAGACAUGUUAUACUGGCAGAUAAAAUGAAAUGAAGAGGUGAGAAAGUAGAUCGUCGGAAGUAAAAGUAUUAUUUCUAAGAAAGGGUAUAGUCCUUAAUACUUCAUUCAUUUAUUAUUGGAAUGAAAUCUUAAAUUGUAAUAAAAUAUUGAUUACACACAUCUAAUUUAAACGUUUUUGGAGGUAAUAACUUUUAUAGGAACUGUCUUCAUGCAUUUUUAAAAUUUUAUUUAUUACCAGAUAUCACUGUCAGGUACAAGUACAAGGAAUAGUACAUCACAUAUAAACAAAAUAUUUGGUAAUUGCAUCUAACAUACUAGCAAAAUGCUAAUCGAGGUUAGCCCCAAAUAAUGUCAUUACCAUACUUUAAACAUUAAUUUUCACUAAAUCUCAAUAUUGUACAUAAAAGUCAGUACUAAUUCUACUUAUUACUAUUGCAGAAAAUUUCGAUAAUUUUUAGUGAACACAUUUACACUAUAUUUACAAGAAAAAAACAUCUUAAUUAUUCACAAAAUUAUUGUUGGAAUAAAAUUUUAGUUGUUUUUUUCGUACUGAAAUAUUAAUUACUAGUAAUUUCUAUAGAGUGCCAAAGCGAUGACGUCAGUUGAAAUGGCGGCCUGGUUCUAAACAAAUGAACUCCGAGCGUGUUUCUCAUAAGCACUGCGACUAUGUUUAGAACAGCCGGUUCGUUGUCAUGACAGUAGAGUCACACUUGGAAUUUUAUACAGUAACUUUUUGAAUUAACAUGAUUAAUAUGUUAAUACUACAUGCACUUAUCAUUGGAAUGAAAUUUUCAAUUGUGUGUAAUAAAAUAUUUGAUUAUACACGUGUAUCUUAAACCUCUUUGGAGCCAGUACAGUAACUUUUUUAAAUUAAUAUGUUAAUACUUUAUUAUUAGACUGAAAUUUUAAAUAUUUAGUACUGAAACAUAUUGAUUACGAACAGUAACUCUUUGAAUUGAGGUGUCGGAGUGAUACUAAUGUACAUGUAUUUCUAUUGGAAUGAAAUAUCAGAUUGUAAUGAAUAAUUGAUUAUCAUUUCUAGACUAGUACUCGUUUUUUUUUCUAAUAAAUUUCAAGUAUUUUUUAUAUCUUUUGUCCAAUGUAGGUU